This is a long non-coding RNA of Papaver somniferum (opium poppy), 1237 nucleotides long. RefSeq lists it as uncharacterized. NCBI's taxonomy places the organism in Eukaryota, Viridiplantae, Streptophyta, Magnoliopsida, Ranunculales, Papaveraceae. The record is from RefSeq and is a predicted model, not a curated record. The transcript is spliced from 7 exons.
GAGAGAGAGUAAAACGAUGGCGGAUAUUUCUAACUCCAAAAGUUUGCAUUCGACGGAUGUUUCUGAUCCGUGGCUCUAAGCGUUUGCGUAGGGUUCUGCCUCGGUAAAACUGAACCCAAAGAGGAACGUACCUGCACAACUAAAGAACCCCAUGAUUUAGUAAGACCAUAUGCAAUGGAUGCCAUAAGUUUUUAUAGUGAAAUAACAGGCACAAAAUAUGAGCUGGUGGAGCCUGGUUACAUUGCACAUGUGCUUCUUUUGAAAUGCCUUGUUCGCCAUCUCGACUUCACAGCCAAAAAGACUGAUGUUGAUGAUGCUCCAGAGGAGAUAUUUUUUGCUGAACUGACAACUAUCAACAAGGAGAUAAAAACAAUGGCUGCCGUUAUUGCAUGAAUUACAAUGCUCAGCAUCCUAGGGAUGGAGGAUUCAUGGCUGGUGGUGCUGGAUUAUUCCGUGAUGAGCCUAAUGAUAUUCCCAGAAAGGAACGUACAUCUACAGACAGCCAUGAUGUAGUAAGGCCAUAUGCAGUGGAUGCCAUAAGUGUCUAUAACGAAAGAACAGGUUCAAAAUAUGAGCUUGUGCAGCCUGGUUACAUUACGCAUGUGGAUAUCGGACAUGCUUUCUUCACCAUCUCGACUUCACGGCUAAAAAGACUGAUGUUGCUGAUGCUCCAGAGGAGAUGUUUUUUGCUGAACUGACAACUACCAACAAGGUUCGGUGUGUCAAGGCUUGCAGAUGCAUGGGGCCAAAAAUAGUAAUUUCAGGAGAUAAAAACAGUGGCUGAUGUUAUUGCAUGUCUUACAGUGUUCAGCAUCCGAGGGGUGGAGGAUUCAUCGCUGGCCGUGCUGGAUUAUUCCGUGAUUUAUAAAAACUAUAUUCCUUGGCUUUUGGCAGUGAACUUUUUAUGAACAUAAAAAUGUCAGUUGUGUAUAUUGAAACUUAAUUUAGAUUUUUGACGCUUGUGUAUUCGGACAUAUCUAAAAGUUUGUGAGCAACUCAAGGAUGCAUAUUCAUUUUAAAAAACUUUGGAGCUUUGAAUUCCGAUCUAAACUUCCUUAAAACUUAAUUCUCUUAAGAACUUCUAGAUAUGAGCUACUGCAUAUAAUAAGCAAGUUGCUGAAACUCACGCCACAAGAGUUUCCACUUUCAUCUUGAAGUUAAGAGAUCAACUCGUCGCUGUCAAAACUUCUCCAAUCUUCAGAUACUCAGCUCGCACACCCAAAUUUGCAACCAGCCA